Molecule: ribosomal RNA, 494 nt
Filed under: uncultured bacterium
Lineage: Bacteria
Description: bacterial SSU rRNA
Rfam family: Bacterial small subunit ribosomal RNA
Source: RNAcentral
GAUGAACGCUGGCGGCGUGCCUAACACAUGCAAGUCGAGCGAGAACCGCUGGAAUGACACUUCGGUAGAAUGAAAGCGGGGAAAGCGGCGGACGGGUGAGUAACGCGUAGGUAACCUGCCCCAUACACAGGGAUAGCCUAGGGAAACCUGGAUUAAUACCUGAUGAAGCAACUGGUCGCAUGACCGGCUGCCAAAGAUUUAUCGGUAUGGGAUGGACCUGCGUCUGAUUAGUGAGUUGGUGGGGUAAUGGCCUACCAAAGCGACGAUCAGUAGCCGACCUGAGAGGGUGAUCGGCCACAUUGGAACUGAGACACGGUCCAAACUCCUGCGGGAGGCAGCAGUGGGGGAUAUUGCACAAUGGGCGGAAGCCUGAUGCAGCAACGCCGCGUGAGCGAAGAAGGUCUUCGGAUCGUAAAGCUCUGUCCUGGGGAAGAACAAAUGACGGUACCCCGGGAGGAAGCCCCGGCUAACUACGUGCCAGCAGCCGCGGUAAA